CGAUCGCAUCUCGCCUACAAAUUCCUAUGCGAACCUGCGCAACCUGGGUUUGUUUCUGGCCCACGACAUGGGAAUGCACCGUACGUGGACAUGCCAAGAUCUUAAAUCCAGCUUGUGUAAGGUUCAGGUCCGUGCUAGGUUUUCAACCGAAGCGAGCGUCGAGCGAGAGGGAUCUUCUCCAGGGUUGGUUCUGGAGUCCGCCGUGGUUCUUUCUCGACCUCUUUCUCACUCCGUUGAUGCCAUUGUUGCUUGUUUCCCAAUCAUUUGGAUGUUCCCACAAGGAUCUCUGCUGGUUAAAGGUUCGCCUGUCGUAUUCGUUUUUUCUGCGGAUUUCACUUCGUUGUUUGACGUCUUCUUGCCCGGUGAAUUGAUGAGUAAAGUAGUAUGUCUCGUGCUUCCACGAUGUUUGGCAUUCUCCCGUUUGAGUUUAUGGAUUACCUUUUUUUUUCCCUUGGUCGGUCGAUUAGGUUGUGGAAGAUCUUUCUUUCGAGUUCCUGGUUUUGAUUUGAGUGGUGAUGGAUCAUCGACAGUAAUUUUAACUUGUUUGUUGAACCCCUGAGCGAUUCCUUCUGCUUUAAUCUGAAUCUCGUCAGGUAUGACAUACGCGGAAGCUUUACCAUUUUUUUUUUUUAUCUUGAUAUUGAGUCGGUGCUUUUUUUUUCUUUGCUGGAGUCAUUUGUAUAUGACCUUUAGAUUCUCUUUGUUUGGCUAGGUUUUACUGUGAACUAGUUGGUGGGCAGUUCUGUGGCUAAAAUUUGACCUUCUGGAAUGGAGACUAUGGCUGUAGUUGCGCCGCAUCGCAGUAAAUGUUGCAGUAGAAGCGAAUCACAACUUUGUAGAGACUUUAAAGGUUUUAGCUUCCGCAUUUUUGAGUCUUCUGCUCGAAUUCUGCCGUCACCCUGCUCUCCAGUUCGCCAUUGCUACGGCCAGUAUGAGCAGAAAUCUCCUAGUUUUCACUCAGAACAAGAAGGAAAACAAAGAACUAAGAGGCAAACUAUUUCAUUGAUCACCCCUCCAAAAGUAGCCUCCUUCGAUGAUAGCGUAUCCCUUUCUGAGCGGUGGGCAGGCCCUGCCUACUCAAACUCACCUCCCCCAAGUUCUUUGCCAAUCCCAAAAUUUUCGCUUCGGCAGAAACGCAGUAUUUCUCUGGAACUUCAAAGUCCAAAAGUUACUCGUACACUUCCCGCUCUUUCAAAAUCCGCACCGUCCUCUCCUACUAACGAUUCCCCUUUAUCUGCUUGUAACUUGUUUUUCAACACUGUCAUUGCUACGGAGAACUUGAGACGGAUUCUCCAGUUGGAUAUUGAAGAUCAUUAAGGGAGACUCUGUUCAAUCUCUUUGUAGUACAUGUAGAUAGUUAAUCAUAGUUGUGUCUGCUUCUGUAUUUUCUAGCUUUAGAUUAAAAGUUUACGAAGCUUCAGUAGGAAUAAGUCCUAUAUCGUAUUUUAGGUUCACUAAUAUUGAGCAUGCAUGAUAAGGGAUUAGAGUAAGUUUCCUGCAAAUAUAUUACUUCUUUUGUAGCAUUUAGGUCAUGAUUCAGCCCCCCUUAUAAUCUGAGUAAGUGAAAAAAAGGAAAAAUUUGAUAGUAGUUAGGAACUGCAGUCUCCCUUAUAAUGUGCAAUAUUCUCUGUGCUUUUUCUUGUCUAUGUCACUAUAAUUCCUCCUUUGUUCAUAUUCUUUUUAGCUCUGUUUGAUCUUUAGACAUCAGUAACACAACCUUGUCACUUCCCGUUUUUUCAAAGGAAGAAGUGAGAAGUGUAAUGCUGUACUUCUGAUCUAUCUCUUUCCUUAUCUAUCGCCAAGCAUAGCCUAUAGUUGCUUUUCAUUAGUACCAUUUUAGAGUGAUCUUCUGUAAUCAGUACUGGUAAAUUUUGCAUCAAAUAGUUGUGUCUUCGUCCAGUUUAAGAGGUCUCUGGAGACUGGUGCACACUAGAAGCUGAUUCGCAACCACGUCAAGAACCCUAUGUUGGUGAUAAAUACAGCAGCUUAGAUCGUAAUUGGCGACACUGAUGAACUUUUUUGCUGCUGCGGAUGUUGCUACGUAUCUGGGCUAACUUUUGGAACCAGUUGUGCUUUAAGGAAACCUUUGAUUUUAAUAAUGGACCAUGUAGAAUUUGAUUUUUCCUCUACGCAGACUAGAUUUAAGUAGCCUUUUUCUAAUAAUGCUCCAAUGUUAGUUUUUCUUUGUAAGAAUUAUGUUGUCCAUGAUGUUGCGUGUUUGGGUUAUGGAAUAAACAAAGAACUGAAUGAAUAUUCCUAAA
Molecule: long non-coding RNA, 2261 nt
Organism: Zingiber officinale
Lineage: Eukaryota; Viridiplantae; Streptophyta; Magnoliopsida; Zingiberales; Zingiberaceae
Exons: 2
Source: RefSeq, a predicted model, not a curated record